CCUACGGGUGGCUGCAGUCGAGAAUCUUUCGCAAUGGGCGCAAGCCUGACGAAGCGACGCCGUGUGAGCGAAGAAGGCCUUCGGGUUGUAAAGCUCUUUCGCUAGGGAACAAGAGAGAUGGCAUAAUACGCCAUUGAUUUGAUGGUACUUGGUAAAGAAGCACCGGCUAACUCCGUGCCAGCAGCUGCGGUAAUACGGAGGGUGCAAGCAUUGAUCGGAAUUACUGGGCGUAAAGGGCGCGUAGGCGGUCGAAAAAGUCAGAUGUGAAAUUCCGGGGCUCAACCCCGGAGCUGCAUUUGAAACUCUUCGGCUAGAGGACAGUUAGGGUAAACGGAAUUCCACGUGUAGCGGUGAAAUGCGUAGAUAUGUGGAAGAACACCGGUGGUGAAGACGGUUUACUGGGCUGUAACUGACGCUGAGGCGCGAAAGCUAGGGGAGCAAACAGGAUUAGAUACCCGAGUAGUC
RNAcentral lists this ribosomal RNA (465 nucleotides) under uncultured Chlamydiales bacterium. RNAcentral's name for it is "bacterial SSU rRNA". It matches the Rfam family "Bacterial small subunit ribosomal RNA", at positions 338 to 795 of the family's 1533-position model. Lineage: Bacteria; Pseudomonadati; Chlamydiota; Chlamydiia; Chlamydiales. The record is from RNAcentral.